This 825-nucleotide ribosomal RNA is filed under the name uncultured archaeon. RNAcentral's name for it is "bacterial SSU rRNA". It matches the Rfam family "Archaeal small subunit ribosomal RNA", at positions 66 to 878 of the family's 1478-position model. The record is from RNAcentral.
AACCUAAAAAUCCCAUGGCAAACUGCUCAGUAACCCAUGAUCAACUUACCCUAUAGAGGAAAAUAACCUCGGGAAACUGAGGAUAAUGUUCCAUAGUUGAAUCGGCUUGGAAAAGUUUUUCAAUAAAAGGGAUAAGGAAAAUGGUUCUUAUCUGCUAUAGGAUAGGAUCGUGCUCGAUUAUGGUUGUUGGUGAGGUAAAGGCUCACCAAGCCGAUAAUCGAUAGGGGCCGUGAGAGCGGGAGCCCCGAGAUGGGUACUGAGACAACGACCCAGGCCUUACGAGGCGCAGCAGGCGCGAAACCUCCGCAAUACACGAAAGUGUGACGGGGUUACCCAAAGUGUUCUAUUUAGAACUGUGGUAGGUGAGUAAUGUUCCCUACUAGAAAGGAGAGGGCAAGGCUGGUGCCAGCCGCCGCGGUAAAACCAGCUCUUCAAGUGGUCGGGAUAAUUAUUGGGCUUAAAGUGUCCGUAGCCGGUUUAGUAAGUUCCUGGUAAAAUCGGGUAGCUUAACUAUCUAUAUGCUAGGAAUACUGCUAUACUAGAGGGCGGGAGAGGUCUGAGGUACUACAGGGGUAGGGGUGAAAUCUUAUAAUCCUUGUAGGACCACCAGUGGCGAAGGCGUCAGACUGGAACGCGCCUGACGGUGAGGGACGAAAGCCAGGGGAGCGAACCGGAUUAGAUACCCGGGUAGUCCCGGCCGUAAACGAUGCAUACUAGGUGAUGGCACGGCCAUGAGCCGUGUCAGUGCCGUAGGGAAACCGUUAAGUGUGCCGCCUGGGAAGUACGGUCGCAAGGCUAAAACUUAAAGGAAUUGGCGGGGGAGCA